UCAAGUGUGCGAGAAGCAGGAAAAGCCUUAUCCUGAAAUGCAGUGUCUUUCCUGGGCUUCCAGGGAUGGCUCAUUAUAUGAUCAAAUGCUGUUUUUUUCCAAGGCGGCCCUACCUGCCUGUCUGAUGCAAAUCAGUGGGCAGCAAUUCAAGAAUCUGUUUUCUUCCCAUCAUCCAGUGUGUGGCCCCAGCCCUUGUUUACUGCAUUCUGUUCAGCCUUGCUGCAAAGAUGAAAUACUCUUUCCACUUGUUUGGGUUUUUUUCUGUGACACUCAUUACUCUUGUCAUGUUUGUUUAUUCCACAUGCAAACUAUUAAUUAAUUUGUCUCUGUGAAGCCCAGUAAGGCAGGGGAGAAACAUUAUCACUUCAUAGAUAAGGAACAGAAGCACAGAAAGAUUCGGUCAGGAAUGUGAAUUAAUUUGGGGUGUUCAACUUAAGAUGCUCAGGAGCUGAUAUAUCUGUGCAUUUAUGAUUUAUUUGCUUGCUUUAGUGCCAGUGUGUCGUUGGGCACCGCCAGGGCAGGACUGCAGUGGGCAGCUGGACUGCCUGGUCACAGCAGAGGCCCAAAGCACUUCCCAGGGUACAAGACCAGAAACAGCAGCCAGAUGGAGGUGAAUGGAGAAAGAUCAUAGAACCCUGGAAUGGUUUAUCUUGGAAGGGGCCUUAAAGAUCAUCUAGUUCCACUCUCUGCCAUGAGUAAGGAGACCUUCCACUGGACCAGGUUGCUUGCAAUCCCAUCCAACCUGGCCUUGAACCCUUCCAGGGAUGGAGCAUCCACAACUUUUCUGGUAAGGAUGGCGGGAUAAAUGCAAUGUCUUCUUGAUCAGGCACACAAGGGGAAUUUUAAAGAAAGGGGCUGAAGGAAAACAGUGAUGUGGCUUUAUGGGGACUUCUGACAACCCUUUUAGUGAAAAAAAGUUUUCCUAAUAUCCAAUCUAAAUGUCCCCUGGUGCAACUUUAAGCCAUUUCCUCUUGUCCUGUCACUCGUUACAUGGGAGGAGAGACCUCUUUUCAGGUAGUUGCAGAGAUCUCCUGCAGCCUGGUCAAAAGAGCAGCAAUUCACCCAUCUCCCCUCACUUGGACUGCAGCAAGGACUUUUAUCAGGCAGGAAAGCACAGGUAGCCACAGGAGCCCAGCUGCAGGGUCCACGUUGAGCUCACCAGAGUCUUUGGCUUCCUUUAGACUAUAAUUUGCCAGCUUCCAGCCCAUAAACAAGAGACCUGAGAAUGACUCUGGAAACUUUCACCUGUCCAAGCUCCAAGAGUAUUUAUAUAAUUUAAUCGAUAAAUUGCAUUGAUGUAUUUGCACUAAGUAACUCCUUGAGAUCUGGAUAAUAGAUAAGGGUGUCCAUGGGGCUGUAUAAACACAUCAUAAAUAAAUGUAGCUUGCAAAUCAAUUGCCAGAUAUGAUGAUUGAUCUCCUUGUAGUAAAAUAAUGUGAUGUCUGCCCAUUAUGGAUUUUUAAAAAAAAUCUGACCUAAGAGGUUUCAGAGUAAUUUAUUUGAGGAAGGUUGCCCUUUAAGCCAGAUCCUACACUUUUUAAAAGGUCAUGGGGUUUAAAUAUCAUGGUUACUUACAGAGCAUGGCUCCCUAAGUGGUCUGACAGCUUCUUCAUCAGAAUAUGUUAAGGUCCUGGUCAAAUAAGCGCCUGGCCAUUGAGGCUGAAGGCUGGAUUCUUUCAGGGAAUUUCACUUUACCAUCCUCUUUGGCUGCUGGUGAUGAAUGCAUGAAGAACUGUAAAGGUUAUCCCAAACACCUGGGUACAUUAACACAUGUGAAGAACAGCACAUUUUCCUUCAUCAAUUCACUGGCUGGGUCAUUUUCUGACAUCAGUGAGAGAACUGGGAACAGUAUAAUGUGUUGUUUUACUGCACUGCAUUCCAUGCUAGCUUUGUGCAGGCAGGAGACAAAUCUUUCUGAUUGAGAUACCUGUAAUCCCAGGUAUAGUGAGCCCCUUUUUCAGGCAGCUGAGCCAGAUUAGACUGUGGCCAUCAGAUCCAUUACUCAAGCUCAGGGCUCCCAAGCUGUGCACAAUUGAGCUGACUUCCAGUGUUAUUCAUCCCCUGAUGCAUUAUUAUAUAGGAAGGAGAAAAUCCUUAUUCUAAUUAAUUAUUCUAAUUGAUUAACCUGUUCAUCAGGUUCUCAAAAAAAGGCCAAAUUUCCUUGUCUCUUUAUCUUCUUCAGCCCCUCUGAGCACAUGCAGUGCAGUAAGUCGGGGCCACAUGGUCCAGAUGUCUCUCUGUAAUCUGCAGUUCCACUGUUCCACAUGGUUUUUUAGAUUUUACUUUUAAUAGGAAAAAGGACUUUAAAAGUAAUCCAUGUGCAAUUGUUUUUCACGCCUAAAAUGUUUUGCCUUUGCCUUUUUUACCCAUGCUCUCUUUUUCAUGCACUUUUAGGCAUGCAUCACUUUAUUUUAUCGCACAGCAUUCACUUUUAAGAAGGGCAGAUAGUACUUGAGUAAUUUGGAUUAGGAUGUUUUUGUUCUAAGAGAAUUUAUGGGACACUGGAAUGUACAUAUUUGCUGCUAAAGUCUUAGUUGAUUCUGCAGAUAAAUUCACAGUGAUGGCCUGAAGUCCGCUUGGGCACAGAUGAGGUAUUUGGCAGGGCACUGUUAUCCAAUGCAUACGUGAACUAACAAAGCCAUCUGAUUACAAAUUCAGAUUACAAAUCCAGCUUACAAAUCCAUGGUUUCCUUCUUGUUAUAAAGAAAUUACAUGGAUUUAUCCCACGGUUUGGACAAAAAUAAAACUGGUUAAAGCCACCGCUGCUCAGCCGCUCCCCUGUUUGUUCCAGGAUGCAAUAUACUUGGGCUUGAUGAGCUCAUUCGUUUUGGUUGACCUUUCUGUAACUGCAGUGAUUUUUCCUCUCAGAUCCAUUUUGCAGGAGGGCAAUCACAGCAGAGAUCAGCUUCGGUGGUUCAGAACCUGGUGGCUGGAAGUUUUAUUGGCAUUUAAUGAAGACUUUUGGUACAAGACAAAUGCCCAGAUCUGUAGGCAGCCCAACUUUCAAAAACUUCUUCACCACUUUUGAGUCAUCAUUAAUGCCAUCCCACUCAGUGGUUAUUCCUAGGCCUACUCUCUCUUCCCAGCACUUUCUUGCACAUAUACAUUUAAUUUCCUUUAACCCUUCUGGUGAUUAACCUUUUCCCCACCUCUUGUCUCAUCUUGCCUGGCAAGCUCCAUCAAGCUCCAGCUCUGUAGUCUUUGUCAGCUGCUUAAACCCUUCUGCAUUUCCACGGCAGUCUUCAAAUACUUGAGAUCUUUGUGCAGCUUUUUGUGAAGUUUUAGCAGCUGUCUCCUCUCCCUGUUGCUGUGGCUGAGGGACUGGAGUCUGCUUUCUUCUUUUAUGCCCUUGCUGAGCAAUUCUUCACUGUUGCACUUCACCCUGACUGAUCAGAAUCUUUCCCACUGCAAACUUUGAUAAAGAAGUAAAAGGGUUAUUCCCUUCCUGCUCACAAGAUGAGUCAGCCAGUAACAAGGGGAAGGUUGGCUUGUGAAAGUGCUUGCAUGAAAAAGACUAGUAGGGUUUUCAUCUCCUAAACAUUUUCCAGUUUACUGCCUUGGCAAGGUGGAUUGCUGUGUGCUCCAACCUCACUUCACACCACAAGGUGUUCCUUGAGCUUCCUGGUGCUGGCCCCAUUCUCACCAGUUCAGGCUGCUUGCCAGGGGACUCUAAUAUGACAAUCAUAAACUGAUACAUAUAGAUCUAUCUAUCUAUCUCUCUAUCUAUCUGUAUAUAUGCAUGUAUUUAUAUAUGUGUCUCUAUGUGUGUUUAUAUUUUUCCUGCAUAUUUGUGUGUGUGUUUAUGGUAAUACAUUUCAAUGUGCUUGUGUGAAGACAUUUUCCUCCUCAGCAGAAUUUAAACCCUGAGUGGCCUGCUGUCUGUCUGAUGGAAGAAUUCUGCCUUUGUUUCUGUUGAAAAUGACAAUGAUUUAGAGCUGGCUCAGUAACCUGUCACGGAGGGAUGUGCUCUGCUGUGGGUGAGCAGCUGCCAAAGCUCUGCUGGAGCCAGAUGUGUAACUGGGGAGGCACAGUCCCCCGCUCUGCAAAGUGCAUAUUGUGAGGGGCCACACUGAGAAGGACCCUCAGCAAGUGACCUCCUGUGGGGAAACACCAGUGAGACGCUGGCUUUGCCUGGUAGCAGGGAUGCCACAGACCUGCCGUGGGAGGCUGACACGUGCCCAGCCUCCAUAUCGUGCAUCUGGAAUGUUGAUUAAGUUUGCAUAAAAGGAAACAAGGACUAAGCAUUAGUGACCAGGAAGACAAGAUUUGUUAUGUGUCCGUAGGCUGAGCCUUGGGGAUCAUCCAAGCAGAAGAGGACACUAGCUGGUGCCAGCCAUGGUCCUCCCAGUGCUGCUGCUGCCACGGCCGUUCAGCCACAAGAAAUAGCAUUUCACUGUCAGUGCCUGAGCAGUUCUUUUCUCUGCAGAGCCCCCAAUAUCACCCCAGGCUCCCCUGGGAGCCUGCUUUGAGCUAUCUCCACGCAGGAGCAAAGACAGAGUGUAAAAGAGCUGCCAGUCUGCUGUGUGUUCCCCAAAGAAUGCCAUCGACAGCUCAGAUCAGCCCUGAUCAACAUCUCAUCACAUCUACCAGCUCUAUGUGUAACAAAUGCCAGGACAGGGAGAACUCUUCCUCCAAAUACAGAUGUGAUGGCCCUUGGUGGUGGGUGGUGUUCUGACCAUGUCCUUGGCAACAGGACAAGCUGAGAAAAUGAGUGUGACAGACAACGUGUGAUGCUGAGAAACCCGUGGGACAUGAAAGCAUUCAUCCUGCCUUCCAGUUGUUGAAUUUAGGUAUGUGCCACUGAACAUUUUUGGGUGGAGAGCUUGCUGGACCUUGGAUCUGACCUGCUGCAGCUUCUCAUGAUCCUUCCACAUAACUGAGUCAAGCAGAGGAACUAAAUUUUCCUGGCUGAGCAAAGCACCAAGAGCUGCCCCUGUAUGAGAUCUGCAUGGUGAGAAAACAGGGACGCUGGAAAAGAUGUGCUCCCUGAAAACAUGUUGGGAGAGAUCCUGGCUGCUCAUCCUGUCUGAGAGAUUGAGUGAUCACUGGAGGCAGCUGCAGCAGGUCACUGUCUAUACACAGCACAUAGGUAGCUGUGUGUAAUAAAUACCCAGAGCCCACUGAAGCUGGCAGAUCAUUUCAUCAGCCUUGGAAUCGUGCCAACUGGUGAAUCCUGCUUCCAUUCAAAGCUACAAGAGAACUCCCUUUUCCUCUCACUAGGCUCACAGUUUUCCCCAGAGCACCCAAUCCUUUUCAUAAUUUUCCUAAGCUCAUUAUCUCUGUUCCCUGCGACAGAGGCUUCCACAGGUGAAGCUGGCACUGCGGAAAACAUAUUGAAGAUGUGUCUGUUGUUGUUUUUUAUCAUAAGCACAUUUUUGUCUUGUUUUUUUUCACAGCUUUCUUCCCUCAGCUUUUAAUUUUGGAAAACGGCACAUAAAAGUACCUGGUCUGCCUCUUCUGUGCCAUUCAUUACCCCACAUCUCUUCAUCAUGUCUCUGCUUAUUUAUCUCUUGUCUUAACCAAGCAGGCCUAAUCUUUUUAAAUCUCUUCUCAUAUGAAAGUUUCUCAGUGCCUCUAAUAAUUUUCAUUACCCUUCACUGAAUUCUUUCAUUUUUUUUCCCCUCUAUCAUUUCCAGAACUGAAAAACAACAUUUAAAAAGAGGUUUUACCAUUGAGUUGCAUAAUGGAGGUGAGAUAUUUUCAGUCAUUUGUGUUAUGACAAAGUAAAAUGGUCUUUGCUGCUUAGCCUCACUAUUGUGCAUUCUUACUAAAGUUCUCUAUCUUUUCUGUCUCUGAUAAAUAUGGUCCAAUUUUAUGGUAUUUCUGACCCUCUGGUAAGUCAGUGUACCCAAGCUUAGAUAUUAAAGGAAGGGAGAAGGAAGCAAAAGGCAGAUAGGACAUCUUUCUUCCCCAGAACUAGAGCAGAGAGCCCCAAAAAUGCUAACCAACCUAUACAGCAUACCCGUUAUUACACAGAUAACCUGCCAGACACUGCAAUCAGAUUUCUAGCAGUUAUAAUUGACAUCAAAUCUUGGUAUUGUCAAUUCUCACAGAUACUCUCUGUUGAGCAGAAUGUCCUCAGCUUAAGUGCGUCACACAUGGCUUUUUUUAAAAGAACAGAUCUAAGUUGAAAAACUCCUUCUAAAGUGUGAGGACCAUGUUCUACUCCCAGUUACAGACAGCUCUGCAUCCCACUCAUUUUAAUGGCCAAGCCCUGAACCCAUUGCCACUCACUUAACAUGGCUACUGGCAUGAGAUGCUGAAGGCCUAAGAGAUGCUGGAGCCUUGGCAUCACCACAACUGCCUUGUUUUGAGGGAACUACUUGUGGUUUGUUCCUCUGAGUUGCUAAUUGCCCUCCAGCUCUCCCUUUGGCUUUGUGUGCUACCACCUCAGCGGGACACAUGGACAGAGACACCGUGCAAAGCCUGGCAUCUUCCACUGAGCAGCACCAGACUGCAGCAAGAACACACUGAGAAGUCGCUCCAUCCGGCAGACAAGUGUGGUGGGAAGAGACAUCACUUUGUCACAGCCUGGCCCUGCAAGGGGAAGAUGUCUGUGAGCUGGCAGGAGCAGCUGAGAGAGAAAACACAUUCCUGUCCCAGUAGCCCUUUUACACAAUUACUCUUGUGUUCGUCUACAUGACUGCUGUCACAGGGGGAAGCCCACACUGCUGCUGCUGGGGCUGCAGAGCACAGGGCAGCAACCAGGGGUUAAUUUGCUCCUGCACAACGUGGCUUGGCCAGCAUUUGUUAAAACAACACCUGGGAGCAAGGGGCAAGAAGGGUAGAGCAACCUUUCUACUGCCACACUGAGCACCUUGGCUGUACCAUCCCAAAAUGCUGCUUGCAGCUGUGUGGGCUGUGAGGGGCUGCAGGAGGCAAGUAAACCUGGGAUGGGGUCCAACAGGCAGCAACAGCACCUGUCUCUGGACACUCCCAGCCUCAGAGAGGAUGGGCAGUGAUGCUGGAGCAUUGCAUCACCAAAUGCUCCCCUGACACUUCUGUAGUCCAGCUUUCCCAGUACCAGGGGGCUCCCCAGACAGGCUCUGUGGAAGCAGUAGGGCUAAUUAGAAGAGUGUAGGAUUUACUGCUGUAUCCUAGAUACAGGACAUUAGCUCUGGGCUAAGGAGAUGGAAGAGAUCUCCUUCAGACUGACACCCAUGAAUUCAUGCAGAUUUAUCUUAAAGGGCUGAAAAACAAUAAUCUAAUCAGUGUUUGCAGCAAGCUCUAAAUCUGUCUGUUUAAUUACAAGCAGGGACAUGACCCCUUUUGCAGUGGAUGCUCCUAAAAUUCUAUGGAGAAUCAAGAAAGCACACAAAGGUUUUUCUUUUUGGGGGGAAGAGCAGCUGAAUGAACAAAAGUCAGAAAAAGUGCUACCAUCCUUCCUGUGGGAAUAGGUUAUAGCUGGGAAUGCUGUUUCUGUGGUAACCUGCAACCUGGCUGAAAGCCUGUCUGUACAACUGCUGUGAGUUCAGGUGGGUAAGUCGAUGUGGAACUGAUCCCAUUGUUCUUUGCUCCUCUGGUGAGGUGCCACUCUAUGCUUCUGGUGGCAAAUGCUCUUUCACCCACAGGCUGGGCAGGUAGCUCUCCCAAGCACAGUCUCUGCUCAGUUCAGACCUCCCCAAACUACCACCAGCCACUUUGCUGACACUGAAAAAGAAAGAUAGGGUCUGCCCCACAGGAAGAGAUUAGAGGCUGCUGAACGAGCUCUUUUUCUGCACACAAGAAAUUGCCUCUGCUCACUGACUGCGAGAAGCUGCAAGUGGAAGAUAAAUAACAGCACGAGCUGCAGGAGAAGGAAUAAUGCCACACUACAUCAAACAGGUCCUUGUUUCACUGUCAGCUUAGAGUCUGUUCCACACGAAAGGACAGCCCUGCCAUUUGGCCUGGGUAUUUUAUUAAUGUGGAUGCACAUUUAUGGUGCCGUGGAUUAGCCGAUUACUCUGGCGUUCAAUACCGUCCUUUUACACUGGAGUUCUAGGCAAAGAAAUUUGUCCUGUUAUUCCCUGUGUGCGGUUAACAGCUCUCUCAGAUGGCUGCUGCUCUCUCCCCAGACAUCUCUGUGCACUGACUGCUCUGGAACCGCUGCUGUAGAGGUGCUUCACCUAUACCAAUACAGCCAAGCAUGUUUUAGGAAGCCACUGUAAAGCAUUGUAAAUUACUAAAUGCAGUAUCAUCUUUGGACUGGCAUUAUAUACUAAAAAUAGUGAGCAGUGACUCUUUCACAACCUGAUACAAAAUGUAUUAUGGCCAAGGGAAAUACUACCCACACCUUUACUGCAUUUUGGUCAGUUCUUAAUGUUCAGGUAGUCUGCAAAGAAGCACAGACAUCUUGCUUUAAGAAAUCUAGGCUAUGUGAUAUUUGUCAUUUUACUACAAAGUGUAAAUAUAAAAGACUGAGUUUAAUAAUAAUAAUAAUAAUUAUUAUUAUUAUUAUUAUUAUUAUUAUUAUUAUUACAGGUUCAAGAAACUGGUGAGCUCCACCCUGACCAAACCAGUACCUCUGUCUGACCAAACGGUAAUAAGACCUUUUCAAAUGAGCUUGAUUUACUGAAAUCCAUUUAUUCAUGAAUGCUGUGGAUGGAUGCUUUUCAAACCGUGGUAUUUUGACUGUGCCAGGGCAUUACUGGCAGCCAAGCCCUGCUUCUUGAUACAGAGCAGCGAUGCUCUUCGGAAUUCCUCCACCCUCAUAGCUCCCUAAAUGAUGCUAUCGACCAUAUGCUGCUAAGAGGAUCUCAGAGGGAUGUUUGUAUUAGGUGGCAGGCUAAUUGUGGCAUUUGAGAGAUUUCAGAUGGCAAAAACUUUUAAUAACAAGAUAAUAAAGAUUAUACA
Long non-coding RNA from Pseudopipra pipra, 8832 nucleotides. RefSeq lists it as uncharacterized. NCBI's taxonomy places the organism in Eukaryota, Metazoa, Chordata, Aves, Passeriformes, Pipridae. The record is from RefSeq and is a predicted model, not a curated record. The transcript has 3 exons.